RNAcentral lists this transfer RNA (65 nucleotides) under Decma fissa. Its description in RNAcentral is "tRNA-His". The record is from RNAcentral. Lineage: Eukaryota; Metazoa; Arthropoda; Insecta; Orthoptera; Tettigoniidae.
AUUUAAGUAGUUUAUUAAAAAUAUUGAUUUGUGGUGUCAGUGAAGUAGAAUUUCUACCUUAAAUC